This 22-nucleotide microRNA is filed under the name Caenorhabditis remanei. Its description in RNAcentral is "crm-miR-35i". Its record names the gene crm-miR-35i. The record is from miRBase by way of RNAcentral. Lineage: Eukaryota; Metazoa; Nematoda; Chromadorea; Rhabditida; Rhabditidae.
UCACCGGGUAAAAAUCAGGGCA